Molecule: transfer RNA, 73 nt
Filed under: Capra hircus (goat)
Lineage: Eukaryota; Metazoa; Chordata; Mammalia; Artiodactyla; Bovidae
Also listed under: 1 other name
Rfam family: tRNA
About the family: Transfer RNA (tRNA) molecules are approximately 80 nucleotides in length.
Source: Rfam by way of RNAcentral
GCCCUGAUAGUCCAGUGGUUAAGACUCUGCCUUUCUACUGCAGAGGGCAUGUGUUCAAUUCCCCUUCUGGGAA